This 513-nucleotide ribosomal RNA is filed under the name uncultured bacterium. RNAcentral's name for it is "partial 16S ribosomal RNA". It matches the Rfam family "Bacterial small subunit ribosomal RNA", at positions 28 to 523 of the family's 1533-position model. The record is from RNAcentral.
GACGAACGCUGGCGGCGUGCCUAAUACAUGCAAGUUGAGCGCUGAAGGUUGGUACUUGUACCAACUGGAUGAGCAGCGAACGGGUGAGUAACGCGUGGGGAAUCUGCCUUUGAGCGGGGGACAACAUUUGGAAACGAAUGCUAAUACCGCAUAAAAACUUUAAACACAAGUUUUAAGUUUGAAAGAUGCAAUUGCAUCACUCAAAGAUGAUCCCGCGUUGUAUUAGCUAGUUGGUGAGGUAAAGGCUCACAAAGGCGAUGAUACAUAGCCGACCUGAGAGGGUGAUCGGCCACAUUGGGACUGAGACACGGCCCAAACUCCUACGGGAGGCAGCAGUAGGGAAUCUUCGGCAAUGGACGAAAGUCUGACCGAGCAACGCCGCGUGAGUGAAGAAGGUUUUCGGAUCGUAAAACUCUGUUGGUAGAGAAGAACGUUGGUGAGAGUGGAAAGCUCAUCAAGUGACGGUAACUACCCAGAAAGGGACGGCUAACUACGUGCCAGCAGCCGCCGUAA